GCCAGGUGUGGUGCACACCUGUAAUCCCAGCAACUCGGGAGGCAGAGAAAGGAGAAUUGCAAGUUGCAGGAGGCCCUAUGCAACUUAGCAAGACCCUGUGUCAA
Molecule: small RNA, 104 nt
Filed under: Marmota monax (woodchuck)
Lineage: Eukaryota; Metazoa; Chordata; Mammalia; Rodentia; Sciuridae
Source: RNAcentral